CCCUUCAUUCCACCGGAAUCUGUCGAGGCAGACACCAGAUUUCUGUGGAAUGGAAGCCCA
Molecule: microRNA precursor, 60 nt
Filed under: Gekko japonicus
Lineage: Eukaryota; Metazoa; Chordata; Lepidosauria; Squamata; Gekkonidae
Description: Gja-Mir-205-P2_pre stem-loop
Source: RNAcentral